CAGAGUUCUGAGUCUGCGUCUGAAGGAGAGAGGCAUGCAGGGAGAGCUUGGAAGCCAACAAGAGUAGCCAAAGAGAAACUGCUGCAGAGAGAGAAAAGAAAGCUGAAGCAGAGCAGAGCUGACUGACCAGGAACUGAACAGCAAUAGCAGUGAUUUGUAAAAGAAAACAGCAAUGGAUUGAUAGAAGUUUAAAAUAAAUUUUGAAGGUGGAAAACUACUAUAAUUUUGCAGUAAGAUUUUUCCUGUAAGACUGCUGGCAUACCUGUGCAAAAAAGUGUUAGAGACGUUUGAAGGCAGCAUCACCAUUCCUGAGGGGUCAAGUCACCACAUCUAUCUUCUUCAUGUAAACCACUGCAAUUAGUCACAUUACUUUUGUAAUUAAACUAGUAAAAUAUGAAAUUAAUUGCCAUUCAAAAACUAUAAAAUCUAGGAAAAUUAAAUUGAAAACUACGUUGGAGACCAAGCUUUGUAAUGUGGCCAGUUCUGUAUGCAUUGCACAGAGAUAAGAUAGAAGCUAACACAAAGAUCAGGCUUAU
Molecule: long non-coding RNA, 536 nt
Organism: Mauremys reevesii (Reeves's turtle)
Lineage: Eukaryota; Metazoa; Chordata; Testudines; Geoemydidae
Exons: 3
Source: RefSeq, a predicted model, not a curated record